This 353-nucleotide long non-coding RNA is filed under the name Mytilus galloprovincialis (Mediterranean mussel). The record is from RNAcentral. Lineage: Eukaryota; Metazoa; Mollusca; Bivalvia; Mytilida; Mytilidae.
UGCAAGUUCUUUUUAUUGCUAUACUCACUCAGUCGCAUUAUUCACAUUAAUAAUAACCUUACAAUAAUUUCUGAAUUUACACUAUAUAUUAUAUAUUGUCCCAUUUACAUCUAAUCUGGUUAAUAAUAUACAGAUAUUGUGUCAACACUUUUCUAACAAGAAUCUGACAACACUCUGUUUUGGUAGUUUUUGUAUUAGCCAAUGAAAUUUCAACCUUCAAAUUUUAUAGGUCUGAAUAAUGAGAACCAAACCAGAGGGUCCUGAAAGGACUAUUGUCAGAUUAAUGUAAGCCAAGUUAAGACGUAGAAUAUGUAUUUCAAUCAGGUUGAUAAACAUCUGUCCCAUACAUGUAU